UAAGUAUAUUUUCUUUUGUUACAGUUCCUUGUUGUGGCAGCACUAGUAAUCCUUGGCAAUCAAGCCGAAGCAGGGAACGAGCAAAAAAAUGGAGAGUCAUCGGUAAAGUUCGCGGUAGGUGGACCUCCGCCUUUACAACGUAUCACCUUACCUAAUGGAAAGGUAGUAUAUGUUGAAGGAGACGUACCGGUAAAGGAAUAGAUAAUAUUAUGCUACUUCACGACCAGAUAACGACAUUGUGAUCUUGCAAGUAAUUAUGUAUAUAGAAAUAUACAUUUUUUUAUUUUUAACUUUUAUAAAAUAAAAUAAACUUCAUAUUUACUACAA
Long non-coding RNA from Manduca sexta (tobacco hornworm), 327 nucleotides. RefSeq lists it as uncharacterized. The transcript has 2 exons. The record is from RefSeq and is a predicted model, not a curated record. NCBI's taxonomy places the organism in Eukaryota, Metazoa, Arthropoda, Insecta, Lepidoptera, Sphingidae.